Molecule: ribosomal RNA, 2166 nt
Filed under: Listeria monocytogenes
Lineage: Bacteria; Bacillati; Bacillota; Bacilli; Caryophanales; Listeriaceae
Description: partial 23S ribosomal RNA
Rfam family: Bacterial large subunit ribosomal RNA
Source: RNAcentral
GUUGAAAUGGCUUUCCCUCCAGAGUGGAUCCUGAGUACGGCGGAACACGUGAAAUUCCGUCGGAAUCCGGGAGGACCAUCUCCCAAGGCUAAAUACUCCCUAGUGACCGAUAGUGAACCAGUACCGUGAGGGAAAGGUGAAAAGCACCCCGGAAGGGGAGUGAAACAGUUCCUGAAACCGUGUGCCUACAAGUAGUUAGAGCCCGUUAAUGGGUGAUAGCGUGCCUUUUGUAGAAUGAACCGGCGAGUUACGAUUUGUUGCAAGGUUAAGCGGAAAAAGCGGAGCCGUAGCGAAAGCGAGUCUGAAUAGGGCGCAUAAGUAACAGGUCGUAGACCCGAAACCAGGUGAUCUACCCAUGUCCAGGAUGAAGGUAAGGUAAUACUUACUGGAGGUCCGAACCCACGCACGUUGAAAAGUGCGGGGAUGAGGUGUGGGUAGCGGAGAAAUUCCAAUCGAACUUGGAGAUAGCUGGUUCUCUCCGAAAUAGCUUUAGGGCUAGCCUCGAGGUAAAGAGUCAUGGAGGUAGAGCACUGUUUGGACUAGGGGCCCUUCUCGGGUUACCGAAUUCAGAUAAACUCCGAAUGCCAUGUACUUAUACUCGGGAGUCAGACUGCGAGUGAUAAGAUCCGUAGUCGAAAGGGAAACAGCCCAGACCACCAGUUAAGGUCCCCAAAUAUAUGUUAAGUGGAAAAGGAUGUGGGGUUGCUUAGACAACCAGGAUGUUGGCUUAGAAGCAGCCACCAUUGAAAGAGUGCGUAAUAGCUCACUGGUCGAGUGACCCCGCGCCGAAAAUGUACCGGGGCUAAACAUAUUACCGAAACUGUGGAUGAACCUCUUUAGAGGUUCGUGGUAGGAGAGCGUUCUAAGGGCGGUGAAGUCAGACCGGAAGGACUGGUGGAGCGCUUAGAAGUGAGAAUGCCGGUAUGAGUAGCGAAAGAAGGGUGAGAAUCCCUUCCACCGAAUAUCUAAGGUUUCCUGAGGAAGGCUCGUCCGCUCAGGGUUAGUCGGGACCUAAGCCGAGGCCGAUAGGCGUAGGCGAUGGACAACAGGUAGAGAUUCCUGUACCAGUGCUAAUUGUUUAACCGAUGGGGUGACACAGAAGGAUAGGGAAUCGCACGAAUGGAAAUGUGCGUCCAAGCAGUGAGUGUGAGAAGUAGGCAAAUCCGCUUCUCGCGAAGCAUGAGCUGUGAUGGGGAAGGAAAUUAAGUACGGAAGUUCCUGAUUUCACGCUGUCAAGAAAAGCCUCUAGGAAGAGUAGUACUGCCCGUACCGCAAACCGACACAGGUAGAUGAGGAGAGAAUCCUAAGGUGAGCGAGAGAACUCUCGUUAAGGAACUCGGCAAAAUGACCCCGUAACUUCGGGAGAAGGGGUGCUCUAUUAGGGUGCAAGCCCGAGAGAGCCGCAGUGAAUAGGCCCAGGCGACUGUUUAGCAAAAACACAGGUCUCUGCAAAACCGUAAGGUGACGUAUAGGGGCUGACGCCUGCCCGGUGCUGGAAGGUUAAGAGGAGUGCUUAGCUUCGGCGAAGGUACGAAUUGAAGCCCCAGUAAACGGCGGCCGUAACUAUAACGGUCCUAAGGUAGCGAAAUUCCUUGUCGGGUAAGUUCCGACCCGCACGAAAGGCGCAACGAUCUGGGCACUGUCUCAACGAGAGACUCGGUGAAAUUAUAGUACCUGUGAAGAUGCAGGUUACCCGCGACAGGACGGAAAGACCCCGUGGAGCUUUACUGCAACCUGAUAUGGAAUGUUUGUACCGCUUGUACAGGAUAGGUAGGAGCCGAAGAGACGUGUGCGCUAGCAUACGAGGAGGCAAUGGUGGGAUACUACCCUGGCUGUAUGACCAUUCUAACCCGCCACGCUUAGCGCGUGGGGAGACAGUGUCAGGUGGGCAGUUUGACUGGGGCGGUCGCCUCCUAAAGAGUAACGGAGGCGCCCAAAGGUUCCCUCAGAAUGGAUGGAAAUCAUUCGCAGAGUGUAAAGGCACAAGGGAGCUUGACUGCGAGACUGACAAGUCGAGCAGGGACGAAAGUCGGGCUUAGUGAUCCGGUGGUUCCGCAUGGAAGGGCCAUCGCUCAACGGAUAAAAGCUACCCCGGGGAUAACAGGCUUAUCUCCCCCAAGAGUCCACAUCGACGGGGAGGUUUGGCACCUCGAUGUCGGCUCGUCG